This 733-nucleotide long non-coding RNA is filed under the name Homo sapiens (human). RNAcentral's name for it is "HSALNT0397418". The record is from RNAcentral. Lineage: Eukaryota; Metazoa; Chordata; Mammalia; Primates; Hominidae.
AAAAUCACAGAAAUUUUAUUUAGACCACUAAUGCAGAAAUACAAAUAUGUGUGUGUGUGUAACAAACAAAUUGUUAUGUGCAAGGCGCAAGGCAAAGUAUCAGGAAAAAUUUUAAAUUCUUAAUACUUGCAGUUUAAAACUGAGUUGAGUGGAUAAGGCAAACAUUUGGAAGUUAAAAAGUAACAGCAUUUAAACAACGCAAUGGUACACAAGGUAAAAUAAAAGGCAACAGUCAAUGACUAAAUCCUGAAAGAUACUGAAGAGCUCUUUUGGGCUAGCAAGGUAAGCAAAAGCUUCAUGGAGAGGUAAGAUGUCCACUGGUUCCCAAAGGAUGGGCAGCAUGCCAGACAUCAUCCAUUUGCCCUCUAGGCUCACUGUAUCCUCCUUUCCAUUCUGCUCUCUGUCAGAGGGAUUACAUCACUAGGCUCCCCUGUCCUCUGCCUUCUGGUUGAGGUCAGCCAAUGAAGAACCAUGACAGAUCAGAGGGAGGUAGCAGAGUGAGAUCAGAAUAUUCAUCGUCCUGGUUCUCUACCUCUAGGUCACCUUGGAUUGGCUGUGUUCCUCAAUAGAAGGCUAUUUCUUUCCAGAUGAGAAACCUGAGACUCACAGACACAAAGUGGUAACUGGUUUAAGAACAGGAAUCCAGGCCAAUCUCACUCUAAAACCAUGCUUUCUCUAAUACACCAAUUUUCAUCUUAAUUCUCAAUGAGAAUAAAAAUGUACAAAAUAUCAA